UACGUAGGGUGCAAGCGUUGUCCGGAAUUAUUGGGCGUAAAGAGCUCGUAGGCGGUUUGUCGCGUCGGAUGUGAAAAACCUUGAGGCUCAACCUCAGGCCUGCAUUCGAUACGGGCAAACUAGAGUUUGGUAGGGGAGACUGGAAUUCCUGGUGUAGCGGUGGAAUGCGCAGAUAUCAGGAGGAACACCAAUGGCGAAGGCAGGUCUCUGGGCCAAUACUGACACUGAGGAGCGAAAGUCUGGGGAGCGAACAGG
Molecule: ribosomal RNA, 255 nt
Filed under: uncultured bacterium
Lineage: Bacteria
Description: partial 16S ribosomal RNA
Rfam family: Bacterial small subunit ribosomal RNA
Source: RNAcentral